Bubalus bubalis (water buffalo) is the source of this 672-nucleotide long non-coding RNA. RefSeq lists it as uncharacterized. NCBI's taxonomy places the organism in Eukaryota, Metazoa, Chordata, Mammalia, Artiodactyla, Bovidae. The transcript is spliced from 2 exons. The record is from RefSeq and is a predicted model, not a curated record.
GGCGUGGUCUGCUUUGUAAGGAACCUUGGCAUGAAGCAUCAGGAAAUACGUCAUAUUGUCAUCACUGUGAUAUUACGGGAAUUGCAGCUGCUGAAUGCUUCUCCCUAUGGCUGCAGACCUGGAGCCUUUAUAAAGUGAGCGACCACACUGUCCUGUCCAGUCUCAGCUGGGAAGCCAGGCAGCCAUGAGGCUCUUCUACCUUCUCUUUGUGUUACUCUUCUUGUUCUUGCUGCCUGUUCCAGCUCAUGUACUUAAACAUCAUGAAGAAUGGGAGCAUCAUGAAAACAUCCACCAAGAAACGGGAAAAGCAUCAACAGUAGAUAAAGAUCAGGAACAGUAGGAUUUGGGGAAUACCAUUUUUCUCCUUUGAUCUGGCCAGUCAAAGGGUCAAUCAGGUUUUUUCCCAUUUCCCUCAUGUGCAAACUCUGAACUCCUUUGAGAACAAAGAACUUUGUAAGUUAUAAAAUGGCACACACCUAGACUCACAGUGUGGUCCCCUCCACGCAUGGACGCAUGUAGUGGAUGGUGCUCCCCCUGGGACUCUGGUGCGCUGACCACGGCGACUGCCCAGCUGCUGCGAGCCAGAGGAAGGUGCUUUCCCCUGGACGGGUGAGAUUCAUUUGCUAAGUGUUAUUGUAAAUUCACUUCUUUCCUUUCGCUUUGAUCCUUGAU